AUGACUGAUAGACUAUUCCAAGAAACAAUGGCAACCAGCACACAAUUCCGUUUAAUUAUAGCCAAUUCAAGGGGUAAAUGCGGCGUGCAUGUCCUCUUUUAUGCAUGUGUGGCGUGCCCUCCCCCCUUCCCUGUACGGGUCCCGCGACCAACAGACCACCGUCUGGGGCCCUCGCCGACGCCGGCAGCAAGUAGGGACACCUUGCGGUUAGCAGGGCCUCCGUCCGGCGCGCCCAAGCCCGGGCCUAAAGUGUGGCAGCUUCUCCCUUGCCUAUGUUCCCGUCAGUUCGAGCUCGGAGACAAUUCACACAAGGUGAGAUGCGGUCUGCCGUCCGAGGCCGUCGCCGUCGCCGGCGGCACGGCGAGAGCUAUGUUGCUCCAUGUCGUUGUUCCGCGCCGAACAGCAUGCGUGGGCGGUGAGCAGCACAAGCAGGACCCUAAGGAUUUAUCCCUUGAUACACUGACGAAAUGGGAGGUUUUGGAUUCAACUGUAUUUGUGAUUUGUGCCAAGACUUCGGUAUAUUUUGAAGCAAAGCUAAUACGGCUGAAGUCAAACAGCUAUACCUCCAAUACUUUGCUUGACACUGUGACAGCAGCAACACUCCAGCUGCUCCGCCCGCCCCGCCGCUGCUCCGUCCGCCGCACGCUACCCUCCGUCCCGGCCGUCGUUGACCUCGUCUCGGCCUCGCCCGUCGCCUCAGCUGCCCUCCUCGACGUCCUGCUCGUCCUCGCGUGGGCCAUGGACGUGCGCUGCCGCUGGCCUCUGCUGGACGUCGUCCUCGCCCGGAUCCUCGUCGCCAGCCAAAAGGCCUCGCCGCCGCUGCCUCCGCUUCGCCGGAACCGCGCCCCCUGCAACCCCUCCCUCGACCUAGAGCUGCAGGCUCCACUGCCAUCGUCCAAGCAUGCCAAGUCCGACGGAAGCAAGCAGAAGAAGAAGGACCAAGACCCGAGACCCAUACUAACAUAUCAAGAUCAAAGUCUGCUCACCAUAGCUGGCUGGAGUUAUGUAUCCAAGCAGUGGCUGUCAAUGCGUGGCCACCGGCCGGCUAGCACUGAAGCGUCCAUUCAUUGUCUCCCUGUUCACAAGUACCUAGCAGAAGCAUACAUAUCUACAUAUCAUGAAUGGAUUGCAAUCAGCAAGCAGCAGCCUUGCCUGUGUAGAUGUGUAACAGAAAGGCUGGGAGUGGGCACGGGUGGGCGACUUGGGUGCUGUUUUCAUUGUCUCGGUCGUGGAUCGUACCGACGAGAUCGGCGGCGGCUCCCCAAGGGGAUCGUAGCGAUGAGAUCGGCGGCGGUGAAAGGAUCGGUGGCGGGGAACGGAAGUAGCGUAGGGAUCGAGGGGAGGCCUCGAUCCUGCGAGCGCGAGGCCGGCGGCGAAGGGAUGGAGUGCGACUGUGCGAGGGCGGCUGGCAUGGGUUUUUUUUUUGACGGGGAGGCCUCGCUCGCUACCGGGAGGCUGGAGGCAUCGCUACCUCCACGGAGGAAUCGUUUUUUUGUUCGGCGCUGGAACCAGGGCGGGAUCGCUGAUACGUGGGAGGUGGGAAUGAGGACGAAAAAAACCGGGUCUGCUAGGACGAAAUUUAACCGCGGAGACUACCAACUGAGACAUUAG
This 1611-nucleotide ribosomal RNA is filed under the name Triticum aestivum (bread wheat). Its description in RNAcentral is "partial small subunit ribosomal RNA". Lineage: Eukaryota; Viridiplantae; Streptophyta; Magnoliopsida; Poales; Poaceae. The record is from RNAcentral.